UGGCGGCGUGCCUCAGACAUGCAAGUCGAACGAUUAAAGCUCUCUUCGGAGAGUGUAUAGAGUGGCGCACGGGUGAGUAACACGUAAGUAAUCUACCUUCGAGUGGGGAAUAACGUUCGGAAACGGACGCUAAUACCGCAUAAUGCAGCGGCAUCGCAAGAUGACAGUUGUUAAAGAUUUAUCGCUUGAAGAGGAGCUUGCGGCAGAUUAGCUUGUUGGUAAGGUAAUGGCUUACCAAGGCUACGAUCUGUAACCGGUCUAAGAGGACGGUCGGUCACACUGACACUGAAUAACGGGUCAGACUCYUACGGGAGGCAGCAGUCGGGAAUUUUGGGCAAUGGGCGAAAGCCUGACCCAGCAACGCCGCGUGAAGGAUGAAGUAUUUCGGUAUGUAAACUUCGAAAGAAUGGGAAGAAUCAAUGACGGUACCAUUUAUAAGGUCCGGCUAACUACGUGCCAGCAGCCGCGGUAAUACGUAGGGACCAAGCGUUGUUCGGAUUUACUGGGCGUAAAGGGCGCGUAGGCGGCGCGACAAGUCACUUGUGAAAUCUCCGGGCUUAACCCCGGAACGGCCAAGUGAAACUGUCGUGCUAGAGUGCGGAAGGGGCAAUCGGAAUUCUCGGUGUAGCGGUGAAAUGCGUAGAUAUCGAGAGGAACACCCUGAGGUGAAGACGGGUUGCUGGGCCGACACUGACGCUGAGUGCGCGAAAGCCAGGGGAGCAAACGGGAUUAGAUACCCCGGUAGUCCUGGCCCUAAACGAUGAAUACUUGGUGUCUGGAGUAAUUUGUGCUCCGGGU
RNAcentral lists this ribosomal RNA (798 nucleotides) under uncultured bacterium. RNAcentral's name for it is "bacterial SSU rRNA". It matches the Rfam family "Bacterial small subunit ribosomal RNA", at positions 37 to 844 of the family's 1533-position model. The record is from RNAcentral.